This 25-nucleotide non-coding RNA is filed under the name Mus musculus (house mouse). Lineage: Eukaryota; Metazoa; Chordata; Mammalia; Rodentia; Muridae. The record is from RNAcentral.
UCUAAUGUUCUUCUCCCUACCCUCC